RNAcentral lists this ribosomal RNA (180 nucleotides) under uncultured Glomeromycotina. RNAcentral's name for it is "partial small subunit ribosomal RNA". It matches the Rfam family "Eukaryotic small subunit ribosomal RNA", at positions 653 to 829 of the family's 1831-position model. The record is from RNAcentral. Lineage: Eukaryota; Fungi; Glomeromycota.
GACUUGGUUGGAUGGUCUUUCCUUAGGGAUUGUACUGUUUGACUGAGUCUUUCCUUCUGGCGAACUAUUGUGCUAUUAAUUUAGUGCGAUAGGGAACCAGGACUUUUACUUUGAAAAAAUUAGAGUGUUUAAAGCAGGCUCACGCUUGAAUACAUUAGCAUGGAAUAACGAAAUAGGACG